This 443-nucleotide ribosomal RNA is filed under the name uncultured bacterium. RNAcentral's name for it is "partial 16S ribosomal RNA". It matches the Rfam family "Bacterial small subunit ribosomal RNA", at positions 338 to 795 of the family's 1533-position model. The record is from RNAcentral.
CCUACGGGUGGCAGCAGUGGGGAAUAUUGCACAAUGGGCGAAAGCCUGAUGCAGCAAAGUCGCGUGAAGGAAGAAGGGUUUCGGCUCGUAAACUUCUAUCAACAGGGACGAAAGAAAUGACGGUACCUGAAUAAGCAGCCCCGGCUAAAUACGUGGCAGCAGCCGAGGUAAUACGAAGGGGGCCAGCGUUAUCCGGAAUUACUGGGUGGAAAGGGUGAGUAGGCGGGAUGGUAAGCCAGAUGUGAAAGCCUUGGGCUUAACCCGAGGAGUGGAGUUGAAACUAACAAGCUAGAGUACCGGAGAGGAAAGCGGAAUGCCUAGUGUAGCGGUGAAAUGCGUAGAUAUUACGAAGAACACCAGUGGCGAAGGCGGCUUACUGGACUGAAACUGACGCUGAGGCACGAAAGCGUGGGGAGCGAACAGGAUUAGAUACCCCAGUAGUC